UACGAGGGGUGCAAGCGUUAUUCGGAAUUAUUGGGCGUAAAGGGUGCGUAGACGGCAUAUUAAGUCUGUUGUUAAAUUUUUCGGCUUAACCGAAAAGCUGCGAUGGAUACUGAUUUGCUAGAGGGUGAGAGAGAGAAGUGGAAUUCCCGGAGUAGCGGUAAAAUGCGUGGAUCUCGGGAGGAACACCGAUGGCGAAGGCAGCUUCUUGGCUCAUUUCUGACGUUGAGGCACGAAAGCGUGGGGAGCAAACAGG
RNAcentral lists this ribosomal RNA (253 nucleotides) under uncultured bacterium. RNAcentral's name for it is "partial 16S ribosomal RNA". It matches the Rfam family "Bacterial small subunit ribosomal RNA", at positions 524 to 776 of the family's 1533-position model. The record is from RNAcentral.